RNAcentral lists this ribosomal RNA (684 nucleotides) under Triticum aestivum (bread wheat). RNAcentral describes it as "partial small subunit ribosomal RNA". Lineage: Eukaryota; Viridiplantae; Streptophyta; Magnoliopsida; Poales; Poaceae. The record is from RNAcentral.
AUGGCCUGAAUUGUCAACAAGGAGUUUGCUGAGUUGGCCCAGACGGGGAUGAACUACCUGUCAUGGGCCUCGGACUGUUAGAUCUUUCUCCAGGGCAAAACCCUCCUGAGGGCGAUCGGUAAGGGGACCCACCUGGCCCCCACUGAUCCCAAGUUCGAAACUGAGAAUGCGCAGGCUCUGCAUUUUAUCCGUCAUCACUUGUCACCUACUCUGAAAGAUGAGUAUAUGGCUGAGCGGAGUGCUUCUGGCCUUUGGACCGCUCUUAAGCAGCGGUUUGAGCGGCUGAAGUACACUGUGAAGCCACGUGCAGAGGCAGAUUGGAUCCGUCUGAGCCAAAAGAUUGAGAAAACCCUAUCCACUUUCCACCCUGACGCGGUCCUGUCCGCACAGAACUACCGCGGGGGCAACUACACAAGGUAUUCAGAGUUGAUUGACGUCCUCCAGGUGGCAGAGGCGCAAGAUGAGGUUCUGAAAAAGAACUUUGUCGCGCAACCACUUGGGGGCAGUUCUCACCAGGAGGUGAGGUGAAUGCUCUCAAAGUCCGCAAUCCUCAACAGAAGAAGAGGGGCCGCAAGGGCAAGAAGUGUUGGGGAACAUAGUAAUUUCAAAAAAAUUCCUACGCGCACGCAAGAUCAUGGUGAUGCAUAUCAACGAGGGGAGAGUGUGAUCUACGUACCCUUGUAG